Molecule: long non-coding RNA, 1426 nt
Organism: Passer domesticus (house sparrow)
Lineage: Eukaryota; Metazoa; Chordata; Aves; Passeriformes; Passeridae
Exons: 2
Source: RefSeq, a predicted model, not a curated record
GGGCUGGAGACCAAGCCAGCACUGAUAUUCUAUACAUAUGCAAUUUUUGAUGAGUAAACCCAACGUGACUCCUUUGUUCCAGGAGAGAGAAGCUUUUCCCACAGGGAGAGACAUUACCAGGGCAGGAGCAGCAGAAUAACUCCUAACAACUCAUGGUAGAUGAGACGUUAGCUCCAACAUCUGAACAAAAAUAAUACUACAUAAGGUAGAAAAGCCAAGAAGUCGUGAGCUAGGAGCACAGCUGAUUCCCAAACUGUGACUGCCACAAGCAAAUGACAUCCACAGAAGCUGUUGAAGGACAGACUCUGAUUCUCACUCCUGGGCUGCUCUCUCCAGCACAGCAGAUGUGAGGCUGUGAUCUCCCAGGGAUGUUUUCCCCCUUCCCUGGGCCCAGACCCUGCUGAUGAGGAGAAGCAGAGCACAGACUCAGCCUGAGGUAGCUCUGCCAGCCCAGCUGAGACACCUUUGCCCCUUGUGCAAUUGUUUUGCUAGAAAAGGAAGCAGGUUUCACUGCCUCCAGUUGUUCAGCCUCGUCCUCCUCCUCAAACUCCCCUGGCAGGUCCAGCAGGCUGAAAUCCACCCACACAGAUGGUUGAGCUGCUUUGGUGAAGUUCUCCUUCCAGCUGGACUGACCUUGUUAUCUUUGCUGUGGGCUCCACGUGCUGCUGGACUCUCCUCAAUUUGCUGAUGAUCCUUUUUGCACCACAGAGGGCAAGAACAGGGAAGGGACUUGGCAAAGAGCAGGGAAGGCAGAGGAUGCCCAUGAACUGGAGCUACCUGUGGCAGCAGCCCUGUCUGAGCCUGGCCCUGGUGGAAGGGGAAUGCUGGCAAGGACACCAGAACACACCUGGGGUUCAGAGCCAUGGGUAAGGAGCUUGGUCCUUGUUAACAAAACAGCCUGGAGGGGAAAUUUAGGUGAGAAAGGCAAAUGGAGAGAGCAGAGAGAACACAGAAGGAUCUACCAGAGCUGUGAAGACAGAAAGUGCAGAAAUACUUCCUCCUGCAAAGCUGCUCCAUCAAGACUCCCAUCCAUGGACACAGCUGGAGGAACAGUGGCACUUGUGUGCCAGGACAGGCUUCUCACUGCUGUACAAGAGAGAACAUAGAGCAGCACCUGUGUGUCACCCACCACAAGUGGAAUAAAGGCUGGAGACCCUGCAGAGCCCUGUGUGCUCUGCCUCCAGAGAGACUCAGAGCAGCCAGGUCCAGGCUGUGGCACUGCCCUGCCCCACAGAGCCCUGCUGCUGGGCACCUCCAAACACACCUCCUGAGACAGCCCCAGCCUCAGGAGAGCUCAAAUAGCAUUUAGAGCAGACAGAAACACCUUUAAUGCACCUACAGGCAAAACUGGGGAUGUUCUCUACCCUCAAAAGGCUGAAUUAUACUGAAAAUAUAAAAAAGUAAUUAAAUAACUAAGAAAAAAUUA